Molecule: unclassified non-coding RNA, 248 nt
Filed under: uncultured Hypocreales
Lineage: Eukaryota; Fungi; Ascomycota; Sordariomycetes; Hypocreales
Description: sequence contains 5.8S rRNA gene
Rfam family: 5.8S ribosomal RNA (bases 1-53)
Source: RNAcentral
GAACGCACAUUGCGCCCGCCAGUAUUCUGGCGGGCAUGCCUGUUCGAGCGUCAUUUCAACCCUCAAGCCCCAGUCGGCUUGGUGUUGGGGACCGGCCCCGGCCGCCCCCCAAAUGCAGUGGCGACCUCGCCGCAGCCUCCCCUGCGUAGUAGCACAACCUCGCACCGGAGCGCGGAGACGGUCACGCCGUAAAACGCCCAACUUCUCUAGAGUUGACCUCGGAUCAGGUAGGAAUACCCGCUGAACUU